RNAcentral lists this unclassified non-coding RNA (2741 nucleotides) under Hevea brasiliensis (rubber tree). The record is from RNAcentral. Lineage: Eukaryota; Viridiplantae; Streptophyta; Magnoliopsida; Malpighiales; Euphorbiaceae.
GGAAAGGAGAAGGCGUGUGUGAUGCGUGUAUAUAAGUUCGUUCACUUCUUCAACACGACGUAGUGGGGGGCAACAGACUCACCUGCGGACUCUUUUUUGUUUUAUUUAAUUAAUUAUUAUUUUUUAAAUCGGCGAUCGGAGGCCGGAGCCAAGGUUUUGACAGAUUUAUUGAGAGAACUGGUUGGGAUUGGAUCUUGGAGAUCUCUGCUAGGAAGUAUCCUUCACAAUUCUGCGGCUUCAUCAUUAUUUUCUUUGCAGAAAAGCAGCGAAGCUACUCAAGUGGAAGACUUCCUUUUGCUCUGCUCUAUACUUUUUGUCUGAUUGGAGUGUUGGAUCUUUUAGCGGGACUGCUUCAUGCGAUUGGGCUAUAAUGGCAUUGAAAACUAAUUCAGCUGAUAGUAGAACUAGGAGUUCUAUACAAAUUUUUAUUGUAGUUGGCCUAUGCUGUUUCUUCUAUAUAUUGGGCGCAUGGCAGAGGAGUGGAUUUGGGAAGGCAGAUAAUCUUGCAAUGGAGAUCACGAAGAAUACUGGAGACUGCAAUUUAAUCCCAAGUCUAAAUUUUGAGACCCAUCAUGGUGGUGAAAUUGAGACUCUAAAUGAUUCUGAAUCAAAACCUAAAGAGUUCAAGCCUUGUGAUCCGGGUUACACUGAUUACACACCCUGCCAAGAUCAGAGGCGUGCUAUGACUUUUCCUAGGGAAAAUAUGAUUUAUCGAGAGAGGCAUUGUCCUAUGGAGGAAGAGAAGCUACAUUGCCUAAUUCCGGCACCCAAGGGCUAUGUUACUCCGUUUCCUUGGCCUAAGAGUCGUGACUAUGUACCGUUUGCUAAUGCACCAUAUAAGAGCUUGACAGUUGAGAAGGCUAUUCAGAAUUGGGUCCAAUAUGAGGGCAAUGUAUUUAGGUUUCCAGGUGGGGGAACUCAGUUUCCACAAGGGGCAGAUAAGUAUAUUGAUCAGCUAGCUUCAGUAAUACCGAUUGCUAAUGGGACUGUCAGAACUGCCCUGGACACUGGUUGUGGGGUUGCCAGUUGGGGUGCAUACCUUUGGAGUAGAAAUGUUAUUGCCAUGUCGUUUGCACCGAGAGACUCGCAUGAAGCACAGGUUCAGUUUGCUCUUGAAAGAGGUGUACCUGCUGUUAUUGGUGUUCUUGGUACUAUAAAAAUGCCAUACCCUUCUAGAGCCUUUGACAUGGCUCACUGCUCUCGAUGCUUAAUUCCGUGGGGAGCAAAUGAUGGAAUGUAUCUGAAGGAAGUUGACCGAGUUCUUAGACCUGGUGGUUACUGGGUGCUUUCCGGACCUCCAAUCAAUUGGAAGAAUAGUUACAAAGCAUGGCAGCGGCCCAAGGAGGAACUUCAGGAGGAACAGAGAAAGAUUGAAGAAGUUGCUAAGCUUCUUUGCUGGGACAAGAAGUAUGAGAAGGGUGAAAUGGCCAUAUGGCAAAAGAGAGUAAAUGCUAAAUCUUGUCCUGGUAGACGAGAUGAUUCUCAAGUUACUCUUUGCCAAGCUGCGGACCCAAAUGAUGUGUGGUACAAGAAAAUGGAGGGAUGCAUUACUUCAUAUCCUGAUGUUAGUAGUCGAGAUGAAGUUGCUGGUGGGGAAUUGAAGGCAUUUCCAGACAGGCUUUUUUCUGUCCCCCCGACAGUUGCCAGUGGCUUUGUUCCUGGAGUUUCUGUUGAGACAUACCAGGAGGACAACAAUAAUUGGAAAAAGCAUGUAAACUCUUACAGGAAAAUCAAUAAGCUUAUUGAUUCUGGAAGGUAUCGUAACAUUAUGGAUAUGAAUGCUGGGUUGGGAGGUUUUGCUGCUGCACUCGAGUCUUCCAAAUUAUGGGUUAUGAAUGUUGUGCCUACUAUAGCUGAAAAAAGUACAUUGGGUGUCAUAUAUGAGAGAGGAUUGAUCGGAAUAUAUCAUGACUGGUGUGAAGCUUUCUCCACAUACCCAAGGACAUAUGACCUUAUUCAUGCCAAUGGUGUUUUCAGUUUAUACAAGGACAAAUGUAACACAGAGGACAUUCUUCUUGAGAUGGAUCGAAUUCUGCGACCAGAAGGUGCGGUUAUAUUCCGUGAUGAAGUUGAUGUGCUUAUUAAGGUGCGGAAGAUAGUAGGUGGAAUGAGAUGGGAUACUAAAAUGGUGGACCAUGAAGAUGGUCCUCUAGUUCCUGAGAAGAUACUAGUCGCUGUGAAGCAGUACUGGGUUGCCGGCGGAAACUCCACAUCCUCACAGUGAUAGGAGAAUGGGAUUGGGUGAAACUCUGGAACAUGGGCGUUUGAGCUGGUAAAGUGGCGAUUCUACGUUAUACCGGGCCUGACAGGAACUGAUAACUAUUUAAGCAUGAGCAUCUUCUAUUGCAGAGUACUCUUUAGUCUCUAGCAUAGGCACACGAUAUAUACAUUUUAACUACAUUAUGAAUUGGCCAUCUUAUUUUGUAGCGGUAAUUUAUGAAUAGACGAAUGCCUGUAAGGUUUAUGAUAUCCAAUCAUCAAUUUUUUUUUUUCUUGGUCAAUUUUUGUAGGUUUACGUGGUUUGUCAAUCUACUGGAGGAUCAAGUUACAAAACAUGAUCGCAUGACAAAUAUUUUUCAUUUUAAAUCCUAACUUUUAUACAGGUGUUCAAUAUAACACCUCCAUUGAUUAUGGUUAAUUUUGUGUUAUGUUUGGAUGUAAUGAUUUUGAAAUAGGGACUUGAGUGUGAUUCAUUGUUUACUUGGUUGUAUUUAUUAAUAAAAGAUUUAUUAAUGUGAUCA